Molecule: long non-coding RNA, 633 nt
Organism: Carassius auratus (goldfish)
Lineage: Eukaryota; Metazoa; Chordata; Actinopteri; Cypriniformes; Cyprinidae
Exons: 3
Source: RefSeq, a predicted model, not a curated record
GCAAAGAGAGAUACACACACAGGGCUGAGUAUACGAAUAUCUUUAUUGGAGCAUUGUGUUCAGAUGCAUUGUGUGAUGUGAAGUUAACACCCAUUGAAGAUCUGCUAGGAUUGCAGGAAGGAGAUCGUGCUGCCAGUUGUGUCGGAUGUCAGUUAUCUGGAAAAGAAGUGGAAAGAUCCAGUGUUAAUGAAAGUGUGAGUACACUGAAAUAUCCAUCGUGUCAACAGUUACUUUGCAAGUGUGGAAUAUCCAUAUACCUCUUGUGAGUUGUGACCAGUGUGAGCGGCCCCACCGUAAUAGGAUUGGGGGGUGAGCCGGGACCAGCAAAAAAAGGAGUCUGGUGCCUUGUUGUGGCUGAGAUCGUUUCCUCUGGCCAUCUGUUGCAUCGGUGCCCCCAACGUCCAGGAACUAAUCCCCGGUCCUAUGUGGUUUUGACCCUAAUUCACUGUGAGUGUGUGGAGUGCAGUGGGCUGGGAGAGAAAACCCUGUGGAGAAGAACGUGCACCGGUGUUGCGAGACGACCAUCUUUUAUAUACAUGCCUGCUCGUGGCUUUGGACCCCUACUCCGCCGAGUGGUGACGUGUCAACAAUAGCAAAUCUCUGGUCCGUUGUCUGGAAGAGAGGAGAGGGAAG